CCUACGGGGAGCAGCAGUGGGGGAUAUUGCACAAUGGGGGAAACCCUGAUGCAGCGACGCCGCGUGGGUGAAGAAGCGCCUCGGCGCGUAAAGCCCUGUCAGCAGGGAAGAAAAUGACGGUACCUGAAGAAGAAGCCCCGGCUAACUACGGGCCAGCGACCGCGGUAAUACGUAGGGGGCAAGCGUUAUCGGGAUUUACUGGGUGUAAUGGGGGCGCAGACGGCGAUGCAAGCCAGGAGUGAAAGCCCGGGGCCCAACCCCGGGACUGCUCUUGGAACUGCGUGGCUGGAGUGCAGGAGGGGCAGGCGGAAUUCCUGGUGUAGCGGUGAAAGGCGUAGAUAUCAGGAGGAACACCGGUGGCGAAGGCGGACUGCUGGACUGCAACUGACGUUGAGGCCCGAAAGCGUGGGGAGCAAACAGGAUUAGAUACCCUAGUAGUC
RNAcentral lists this ribosomal RNA (440 nucleotides) under uncultured bacterium. RNAcentral describes it as "partial 16S ribosomal RNA". It matches the Rfam family "Bacterial small subunit ribosomal RNA", at positions 338 to 795 of the family's 1533-position model. The record is from RNAcentral.